Molecule: ribosomal RNA, 506 nt
Filed under: uncultured bacterium
Lineage: Bacteria
Description: partial 16S ribosomal RNA
Rfam family: Bacterial small subunit ribosomal RNA
Source: RNAcentral
AGUGAACGCUGGCGGUAGGCCUAACACAUGCAAGUCGAACGGCAGCACAGAGGAGCUUGCUCCUUGGGUGGCGAGUGGCGGACGGGUGAGGAAUGCAUCGGAAUCUACUCUGUCGUGGGGGAUAACGUAGGGAAACUUACGCUAAUACCGCAUACGACCUACGGGUGAAAGCAGGGGAUUUUCGGACCUUGCGCGAUUGAAUGAGCCGAUGUGGGAUUAGCUAGUUGGCGGGGUAAAGGCCCACCAAGGCGACGAUCCGUAGCUGGUCUGAGAGGAUGAUCAGCCAAACUGGAACUGAGACACGGUCCAGACUCCUCCGGGAGGCAGCAGUGGGGAAUAUUGGACAAUGGGCGGAAGCCUGAUCCAGCCAUACCGCGUGGGUGAAGAAGGCCUUCGGGUUGUAAAGCCCUUUUGUUGGGAAAGAAAUCCAUCUGGUUAAUACCCGGGUGGGAUGACGGUACCCAAAGAAUAAGCACCGGCUAACUUCGUGCCAGCCGCCGCAGUAA